GAUUAAGCCAUGCAUGUGUAAGUAUAAAUAGUUAACUUUGAAACUGCGAAUGGCUCAUUAUAUCAGUUAUAGUUUAUUUGAUGAAGAAUACUAAUUGGAUAACCGUAGUAAUUCUAGAGCUAAUACAUGUAUAAAGUCUUGUAGACUGCAUUUAUUAGAAUGAAAACCAUAGGUUUCGGCCUAUUCGUGAGUAAUAAUAACUAAUCAUAUCGUAUGCUUAUGUAACGAUGUGUCUUUCAAGUUUCUGCCCUAUCAGCUUUCGAUGGUAGUGUAUUGGACUACCAUGGCAGUA
This 292-nucleotide ribosomal RNA is filed under the name Blastocystis sp. Its description in RNAcentral is "partial small subunit ribosomal RNA". It matches the Rfam family "Eukaryotic small subunit ribosomal RNA", at positions 42 to 354 of the family's 1831-position model. The record is from RNAcentral. Lineage: Eukaryota; Bigyra; Opalinata; Blastocystidae.